CAGGCCCUGGAAAAGUGAAGCAGGGAGAACCUGCCUGAGGCCUGAGGAGGGCAGGCCUGAUCGGGGACAGCCCAGGACAGAAGCCCGGAGCAGCACUGUGCCAGGGGGGAAUCGCCCAAGAAGGACAGGCUGGAGCUGGAUCCAGUAUCACGGCUGCCAAGAGCUGCAUGGGGCUUGUGAAGAGCAAACCCAUGGACCUGGUACAGAUGUAGUCUUUACUUCACUUGUGUGUCUAUUCAAUAAACUGGAAUUUCAAGGUCAUGUUCUGACUUCUCCUGUAUCACUGCAAACAAGAUGGUCAUAAAGAUCUUUCCAAGUUGAAAAAACAGAGAUUUCAGAGGAAAGGGCAGAAGAGCCAAUCUCUCCACUCUAUCUUUUCAGAGUAUUGCCUGACACACUAGGAUUUUCUUUCGUAUGAUGUGCACUCCAUCAGUAAACUCUGUAGGAUGUCUAGAUCUGUAUAGACAAGCAAUGGCAGGGGUCAGGGAUACACAGUAUUUCUGCUCUUUACUAAGUUUGGGAUAUAUAAAAAGCAAGUUGGAGAAGUUCAAUGCUUGCCCAUUUUUCAACUAAUGGUGAAUGAUCUGCUGGUAAAGGAAGAACAUUCAGUUCUGGAUCCAAGGCUGAUGAUGUUGACUAUCCCUCCAGAAGAUGACAACUCCUUCUCACAGACAUUUAUGCAUGCUCCUAAGUAAUUUGAUGUGCCACAUGUCAAAGGAAAUAAGAAAUGUCCUAACUCUACCCAAUUAAUGGGAUUUGGAAGUUUCCCAGUCUGAGCACUGAUGAAGAAGAACUGGUUUAUGGACAAGACUAGACUUCACUAGAUACAGUGGCAUAAAAUAAAUUGUUUAUUUUAUUGUACUCACUGUAGGCCUGGUCCUGCAAACACUUAAGCAUAAAAGUAACUUUAUGCAUCUGAAUAGCCCCGUAAAAAUCAGUGGGACUACUCCCAUGUAUAAAGUUACUCAUGUGCAUAAUUAGUUGCAGGAUUGGCAACUGUGGCCCUCAUCCUGUGGCUUGUUGCACACCAGCCGACUCCUGCAUCUAUGAAGAGCCCUAGUGAUUUCAGUGGGGCUUUGUAUGGAUCCAUCCAUGUUGUUCUCUUUGCAGAAGCUGGGCCAAUAUUUGUAAAAGUAGAAGUCCGGCCAGAUGUUGUGGGAAUAUGGAGGACACUCUUGUGUGUUCAUUUCAGUAAAGAAAUACAACAGUAGUAAUAUUUUUCACUGGUACAGUGCCUUUCCAUCUCCAGUCUCGAAUGACUUAUGAAUAACAGGUAUCAGCAUCCUGUGAGGCAGAGAAUUACUGUACAUGUAAUGUUAUUUGUAAAAUGUACUUUUCUCUUGCUCCACUCACAUAGACAAUAUAAAAGCAGCCGUAAAAAUGACAGAAGUAACCAAUUUUAAUUGUUAAUUCUUCCUCACUCAACCAGGCUAUCAUACCCUUUAGUGUACCUACAUCCUCUUACCAUCUAGGAGAACAGACAGGCCUUGUAGGUUAACAGAUUUGAAAUCUGUCAGACCACAGGGGAAGUGAGUUCUAGCAUCAACUGCCCCUCAUUGAAAAUGCCCUGAUGCCAUCUCUCUCCCCUUAAAACCAGGGGGCUGUUAGCAUGUGUCUUGGCUGAGCUUAACUGCCAAGGUAUCACAUAAGGUGAGAGGUAGUUAUUAAGCCAAGAAGAUAUCAAACCAUUUACAGCUUUAUAGGUCAAGACAAAUACUUUGAAUUGCUCCUGGGAAUGAAUUGGAUCAGCUACUGCUGAUCACAGUGUGCCGGUGUGAUGGUUUUCCAGCAAGAAGCACAGCUAAGCUGGUGAUGUUUAGGUGUAGCCCCAUAAAAUGAGCACUGCAGUCACCCACUGUUGAAGUGAACAAGGCACGGAUAACUAUAGAGAUGUCUGCAUCUGUAAGAAAAGGUCACAACAUCUCAAGCAAGAUGGGUUGGCAAAGCCACAAAGAGGUUAUGUCACUUCCCAAGCUCACACAGCCAGAGAGUGGUGGAGUCCUAGUCACCUGCUCUAAUCAUUAGACCCAUUGGCUCUCUGUUUCCAGAAAGAUGAGAUCCAACUAAAGUUUUUCACACUCCACUACAGAUAACAGAAACCUCAAAGGGAGAAAGUUGCUAAAUAAUUCCCUGUCAAAGGGCCUGAGCCACAGACCUGGUAAAGACAAAACUUCUGCUGGAGUUAAUGCAGUUUUUCCCAAGUAAGACUGCAGGAUUGGGCCCUAAACUAGGGCUGGCUGCGAAACAGGAAUUCUGUUUUGCAAAAACAUUAGAGGUUUUGAAAUUUGUUUUAAUUCCAGAGCAGACCAAAAAAAAAUUAUCAGCAUUUUCAGACAAAAAAAGUGUAGUCAAAAAAUUCCCAACCAGCUCUGUCCUAACCUAUAAUUGUUAAAUAGUGUUUAAUGGAGAAUUGUCUAAAAGCAAACACAUUUCAAUAACUGUGAGACACUGAUCUCUUUUCACUCUUUCCCCCCUUUAGAGUAACUUCCUUGACUCAACUAUUUAUGAUUCAUUUCAUGAAAGACUAGGUUUUCUCUGAGGGUACUAAAAAGGGCUGUAACUGUUAAGUGGUUUUAGUGACUAGUACCAACAAGGAAUUGUUUUCUUCCAUGCUGUAAAACAGACACUGUCAAUAGACUACA
Mauremys mutica (yellowpond turtle) is the source of this 2642-nucleotide long non-coding RNA. RefSeq lists it as uncharacterized. NCBI's taxonomy places the organism in Eukaryota, Metazoa, Chordata, Testudines, Geoemydidae. The transcript has 3 exons. The record is from RefSeq and is a predicted model, not a curated record.